GCCCAGGUGGCGGAACGGUUUACGCGCACGACUCAAAAUCGUGUGGUCUCACGACCAUGUGGGUUCAAAUCCCACCCUGGGUA
Molecule: transfer RNA, 83 nt
Filed under: Candidatus Daviesbacteria bacterium
Lineage: Bacteria; Candidatus Daviesiibacteriota
Description: tRNA-Leu
Rfam family: tRNA
About the family: Transfer RNA (tRNA) molecules are approximately 80 nucleotides in length. Their secondary structure includes four short double-helical elements and three loops (D, anti-codon, and T loops). Further hydrogen bonds mediate the characteristic L-shaped molecular structure. tRNAs have two regions of fundamental functional importance: the anti-codon, which is responsible for specific mRNA codon recognition, and the 3' end, to which the tRNAs corresponding amino acid is attached (by aminoacyl-tRNA synthetases). tRNAs cope with the degeneracy of the genetic code in two manners: having more than one tRNA (with a specific anti-codon) for a particular amino acid; and 'wobble' base-pairing, i.e. permitting non-standard base-pairing at the 3rd anti-codon position.
Source: RNAcentral